UACGGAGGGUGCAAGCGUUGUUCGGAAUUACUGGGCGUAAAGGGCUCGUAGGUGGCCAACUAAGUCAGACGUGAAAUCCCUCGGCUUAACCGGGGAACUGCGUCUGAUACUGGAUGGCUUGAGUUUGGGAGAGGGAUGCGGAAUUCCAGGUGUAGCGGUGAAAUGCGUAGAUAUCUGGAGGAACACCGGUGGCGAAGGCGGCAUCCUGGACCAACACUGACGCUGAGUGAGCGAAAGCCAGGGGAGCAAACGGG
This 254-nucleotide ribosomal RNA is filed under the name uncultured bacterium. Its description in RNAcentral is "partial 16S ribosomal RNA". It matches the Rfam family "Bacterial small subunit ribosomal RNA", at positions 524 to 776 of the family's 1533-position model. The record is from RNAcentral.